Molecule: non-coding RNA, 93 nt
Organism: Hyphomonas neptunium ATCC 15444
Lineage: Bacteria; Pseudomonadati; Pseudomonadota; Alphaproteobacteria; Hyphomonadales; Hyphomonadaceae
Rfam family: Bacterial small signal recognition particle RNA
About the family: The signal recognition particle (SRP) is a universally conserved ribonucleoprotein involved in the co-translational targeting of proteins to membranes. Archaeal SRP consists of a 7S RNA and homologues of the eukaryotic SRP19 and SRP54 proteins.
Source: Rfam
AGGCAGGCGGCGGACGGGCCGCUCGCCAAUCGGGUCAGGCGGGGAACCGAGCAGCCCUAACGAGCUUCAGUCCGGGUCGUUUGCUUGUCUCCA